This 450-nucleotide ribosomal RNA is filed under the name Triticum aestivum (bread wheat). RNAcentral's name for it is "partial small subunit ribosomal RNA". The record is from RNAcentral. Lineage: Eukaryota; Viridiplantae; Streptophyta; Magnoliopsida; Poales; Poaceae.
GUGAUUCUCAACAAGGACAAUUUGGUUAAGUGUAGAUGGCAAGGUUGUAAAAAAUGUUGUUUUUGUAACCAAGAGGAAACAAUUCAUCAUCUGUUUCUAGCUUGCCCGCUUGCCAAGCUUUUGUGGCGUGCUGUUCAUGUGUCUUUUAAUGUUCCUUCGCGGACUAGCAUAUCGAAUGUGUUUGUUAACUGGUUCAGAAGGGUGGAGCGCAAUGCUACGACGCGAUUUGGGUGGGAAUUUGUGCACUACAUUGAGAUAUUUGGAACUGUCAAUAUGAUUUUGUGUUUAACAAGACAAAGAUUCAUUUUUCAGCUUAGCUACAAAGCGUUUGGAUGGAUCAGUAUGUGGUCAUUACAAGAGGUUGAAAGAUGCCAUCUCCAGGGAUUGAUCAACAUGGAUGGAGAAAGACCAAGGAGUACUACGUCAAACUUAACGUGGAUGCAUCCCUAA